GGCUGAAGCAGGUCCCAAGGGUUGGGCUGUUCGCCCAUUAAAGCGGUACGCGAGCUGGGUUUAGAACGUCGUGAGACAGUUCGGUCCCUAUCCUCUGUAGCCGUAGGAGAUUUGAGAAAAGCUGUCCCUAGUACGAGAGGACCGGGAUGGACGCAGCUCUCGUGUGCCAGUUGUUCCGCCAGGAGCAUCGCUGGUUGGCGACCUGCGGGAAGGAUAAGCGCUGAAAGCAUCUAAGCGCGAAACCUGUUUCGAGAUGAGAUCUCCCACUGGAUAACCAGGUAAGGCCCGUGGCAGAACACCACGUUGAUAGGCCGGAUGUGUAAGCGCGGCGACGCGUUCAGCAGACCGGUACUAAUCGGCCGAGGGCUUGGGCUC
This 375-nucleotide ribosomal RNA is filed under the name Acidimicrobiaceae bacterium. Its description in RNAcentral is "bacterial LSU rRNA". It matches the Rfam family "Bacterial large subunit ribosomal RNA", at positions 2551 to 2925 of the family's 2925-position model. The record is from RNAcentral. Lineage: Bacteria; Bacillati; Actinomycetota; Acidimicrobiia; Acidimicrobiales; Acidimicrobiaceae.